Molecule: transfer RNA, 73 nt
Filed under: Bos taurus (domestic cattle)
Lineage: Eukaryota; Metazoa; Chordata; Mammalia; Artiodactyla; Bovidae
Also listed under: 3 other names
Rfam family: tRNA
About the family: Transfer RNA (tRNA) molecules are approximately 80 nucleotides in length. Their secondary structure includes four short double-helical elements and three loops (D, anti-codon, and T loops). Further hydrogen bonds mediate the characteristic L-shaped molecular structure. tRNAs have two regions of fundamental functional importance: the anti-codon, which is responsible for specific mRNA codon recognition, and the 3' end, to which the tRNAs corresponding amino acid is attached (by aminoacyl-tRNA synthetases). tRNAs cope with the degeneracy of the genetic code in two manners: having more than one tRNA (with a specific anti-codon) for a particular amino acid; and 'wobble' base-pairing, i.e. permitting non-standard base-pairing at the 3rd anti-codon position.
Source: Rfam by way of RNAcentral
UCCCUGGUAGUCCAGUAGCUAAGACUCUGAGCUCCUAGUACAGGGGGCCUGGGUUCAAUUCCUGGUCAGGGAA